This 301-nucleotide ribosomal RNA is filed under the name uncultured bacterium. RNAcentral's name for it is "partial 16S ribosomal RNA". It matches the Rfam family "Bacterial small subunit ribosomal RNA", at positions 509 to 807 of the family's 1533-position model. The record is from RNAcentral.
CAGUCGCCACGGUAAUACGUAGGGGGCAAGCGUUAUCCGGAAUUACUGGGCGUAAAGGGUGCGUAGACGGUUAAACAAGUCUGAAGUGAAAUGCCGGGGCUCAACCUCGGAGCUGCUUUGGGAACUGUAGAACUGGAGUGUCGGAGGGGUAAGCGGAAUUCCCAGUGUAGCGGUGAAAUGCGUAGAUAUUGGGAGGAACACCGACGGCGAAGGCGGCUUACUGGACGACAACUGACGUUGAGGCUCGAAAGCCAGGGGAGCGAACGGGAUUAGAUACCCCAGUAGUCCCUGUCUCUUAUAC